CGGGACGGGUGAGUAAUGCUUGGGAAUCUAGCUUAUGAGGGGGGAUAACUACGGGAAACUGUAGCUAAUACCGCGUAAUAUCGAAAGAUUAAAGUGUGGGACCUUCGGGCCACAUGCCAUAGGAUGAGCCCAAGUGGGAUUAGGUAGUUGGUGAGGUAAAGGCUCACCAAGCCGACGAUCUCUAGCUGGUCUGAGAGGAUGACCAGCCACACUGGGACUGAGACACGGCCCAG
This 233-nucleotide ribosomal RNA is filed under the name uncultured bacterium. RNAcentral's name for it is "partial 16S ribosomal RNA". It matches the Rfam family "Bacterial small subunit ribosomal RNA", at positions 100 to 334 of the family's 1533-position model. The record is from RNAcentral.